This is an RNA transcript of Phyllopteryx taeniolatus (common seadragon), 1627 nucleotides long. It is a transcript of the gene named FK506-binding protein 15-like, with no coding region annotated. The transcript has 6 exons. NCBI's taxonomy places the organism in Eukaryota, Metazoa, Chordata, Actinopteri, Syngnathiformes, Syngnathidae. The record is from RefSeq and is a predicted model, not a curated record.
AAGCCGCAGAAGAAGAAGAAGAAGUCAGCUGAUACACCCGCUACCAGGAAAAGCGGUAGUGUAGUGGAAGUACCACCGAGUUGCUAAUUUGUCACAGUACUUGUCUUAUCUGAUACUCAUUGGGUUUUAACUGAUAAAAUGUUCGGCGGAGACGACGAAGACGGAGAUUUCUUGUCACCCACGGGCGGGUAAGUUAUUUAUGCCGUGCGAGUUCACUGGGAGCAGAACAUCCCCCCUCGCCAGUGUCAGUGCUCGACAGAUCGGUGUGCAUGGGCCAAGUUGGCUUCCCUGUUUGGACUUGAUGACGAAACCAGUCAAGGGAAUGAGUCCUUUCAUUAUACAGCACCAAAACAGCCUAGAAGGAGCUCAAAUCCAGUCACAGUCAUCCAGACAGCAGCACCUUCACCUGGAACCCUACAAGUGUUAUUUGCCACUGCAGUCCAAGCCUUUCGAUAUAUAAAUGGACAGUACGUGAAGCAGGGUAAGCUGGGGGCAGCCAUACUGGGCAACCACACAAGUAAAGAGUAUAAGCUGCUUCUAUACUUGAGCCAGCAGAAACAAGUUGCUUCUUCCGACAUUCACAUUGACUUCAUUUUCACGGUGAGCUUUACAAACUCUGUUUACAAACUUAAUUUGUUUAGCGUGUUAACCAAAGGAUUUUUUCCCAAUGACCAAGUCACAUUUGCCAUUGUAGACGCCUGACAAAUAAUGAGUAUUUGGAUUAACACAGAGAUAAGAAGGUACUUCAAGUGGCUUAAGGCUCUUCCAGGGUUUUCGCAUCGUGAAACCGCAGCGCGCUUUGGACUGGCAUGCGGACCACAGAUGCGCACACGGUCCCAUUUACACUACAUUUCACGGUCACAUCGGUACGUGUUGCACAUGCGCAUCGGUAUACGCGAAAGCAAAACGAAACGGAGCUGCUGUGUUUGUUGUAAGCUUUAGGAUAAUUUACACCAGAGGUUUGGAACCAUCUGGCUAGCUUUAUAGUCCUUUAAAGGGUUAAGGAAGGAGAGCCCAAGAAUAUGAUGUAUAUGCCCCCAUUUGUCUAAAAAACGAUACUCUGAUUACUAUUGUAUUUGUAGAAUCAGAAUCAAACAGAUAAAUUAAUACAUUUUCACCUAUUCCAGGAUACGGUCACAUUGGGCAAUAUCGCCCUCUGCUCUCGACUGAAAUUAACGUCAUAGGUGCCCUUGCGAACGUCCCGUGACCAAACCGGGAUAUCGGGCACCCCCUGCAUGAUGUGAUAAUUAGCAGAACUACGGGUUGAUUACAUAUGAUGUUUUGGACAGUAUUUUCAGCCAAGUUUGAGUUCAUAUCAUCAUGUAAUCAAAAAGUCUAAGUCAAGCUAGCUGCAACAAGAUUGUUCAUAUUAAGCACCAUGGCACGAAAAAGAAAAACCCAAUGCUGGCAACAUGCCGGAUGUUACCAGCGCCAACUUCAAAAUAAAAGGCCCACCAUUGAACAUCAAUGCGUUAUUAGCCUUCUGUUUGUCAAUAUUCUCAUUUAUCCAGGUCAUUUCAUCAGUCCGUGCUAUUCUCAUUCUCAACUUUUGCACACAGAGUGACGUAAAAAUGGCGGCUUACGAUGCGGUAAAAGUAUUUUUUGAGAAUGUAAGUAACCUUCAUCC